UACGGAGGGUGCAAGCGUGUCCGGAUUUAUUGGGUUUAAAGGGUGCGUAGGCGGCCCUGUAAGUCAGUGGUGAAAUACUGCAGCUUAACUGUAGCAUUGCCAUUGAUACUGCAGGGCUUGAGUACAGAUGAGGUAGGCGGAAUUGAUGGUGUAGCGGUGAAAUGCAUAGAUACCAUCAAGAACACCGAUUGCGAAGGCAGCUUACUAAGCUGUAACUGACGCUGAGGCACGAAAAGCGUGGGGAUCGAACAGG
Molecule: ribosomal RNA, 253 nt
Filed under: uncultured bacterium
Lineage: Bacteria
Description: partial 16S ribosomal RNA
Rfam family: Bacterial small subunit ribosomal RNA
Source: RNAcentral